CCUACGGGUGGCUGCAGUGAGGAAUAUUGGUCAAUGGGCGUAAGCCUGAACCAGCCAAGUCGCGUGAGGGAUGAAGGUUCUAUGGAUCGUAAACCUCUUUUAUAAGGGAAUAAAGUGUGGGACGUGUCCUGUUUUGUAUGUACCUUAUGAAUAAGGAUCGGCUAACUCCGUGCCAGCAGCCGCGGUAAUACGGAGGAUCCGAGCGUUAUCCGGAUUUAUUGGGUUUAAAGGGUGCGUAGGCGGCAUUUUAAGUCAGCGGUGAAAGUCUGUGGCUCAACCAUAGAAUUGCCGUUGAAACUGGGGGCCUUGAGUAUGUGAGAGGCAGGCGGAAUGCGUGGUGUAGCGGUGAAAUGCAUAGAUAUCACGCAGAACCCCGAUUGCGAAGGCAGCCUACCAAGCCAUGACUGACGCUGAUGCACGAAAGCGUGGGGAUCAAACAGGAUUAGAUACCCCAGUAGUC
This 460-nucleotide ribosomal RNA is filed under the name uncultured bacterium. Its description in RNAcentral is "partial 16S ribosomal RNA". It matches the Rfam family "Bacterial small subunit ribosomal RNA", at positions 338 to 795 of the family's 1533-position model. The record is from RNAcentral.